GUUUCCGAAAUGGAUCUGUGGAGUACGGCUUCGAAGAAGAACACAACGAAAUGCGAUACGAAAUGUGAAUUGCAGAAUUCAGUGAAUCAUCGAGUCUUUGAACGCACAUUGCGCCCCUUGGUAUUCCGGGGGGCAUGCCUGUCCGAGCGUCAUUGCUGCCCUCAAGCACGGCUUGUGUGUUGGGCCCCGUCCUCCUUCCCGGGGGACGGGCCCCAAAGGCAGCGGCGGCACCGCGUCCGGUCCUCGAGCGUAUGGGGCUUUGUCACCCGCUCUUGUAGGCCCGGCCGGCGCUUGCCGACAACAAUCAAUCUUUUUUCAGGUUGACCUCGGAUCAGGUAGGGAUACCCGCUGAACUUAAGCAUAUCAAUAAGCGGAGGAAGUUCCGAGGUGAAGCUGCGGAUAUCAUAUUAAAAGCGGAGGACCCUCCUGAAAAAAAAGCACCCAUCCGCAAAUAACAACCGGGAACCCUAUACAUAUAA
Molecule: ribosomal RNA, 479 nt
Filed under: Penicillium corylophilum
Lineage: Eukaryota; Fungi; Ascomycota; Eurotiomycetes; Eurotiales; Aspergillaceae
Description: eukaryotic LSU rRNA
Rfam family: 5.8S ribosomal RNA (bases 2-152)
Source: RNAcentral